This 406-nucleotide ribosomal RNA is filed under the name uncultured bacterium. RNAcentral's name for it is "partial 16S ribosomal RNA". It matches the Rfam family "Bacterial small subunit ribosomal RNA", at positions 28 to 526 of the family's 1533-position model. The record is from RNAcentral.
GACGAACGCUGGCGGCGUGCCUAAUACAUGCAAGUAGGACGCAGUUGCGAACGGGUGAGUAACGCGUAGGUAACUGCCUCUUAGAGGGGGAUAACUCUUGGAACCGAUAGCUAAUACCGCCUACUAGUAGAUGGACCUGCGUUGUAUUAGCUAGUGGGUAGGGUAAUGGCCUACCUAGGCGACGAUACAUAGCCGACCUGAGAGGGUGAUCGGCCACACUGGAACUGAGACACGGUCCAGACUCCUACGGGAGGCAGCAGUGGGGAAUAUUGCACAAUGGGCGCAAGCCUGAUGCAGCCAUGCCGCGUGAAUGAAGAAGGCCUUCGGGUUGUAAAGUACUUUCAGCGGAGAGCGGUACCCGCAGAAGAAGCAACGGCUAACUCCGUGCCAGCAGCCGCGGUAAUAC